CCUCCUACUUUCUCCCUCUCGAUCUCAAACCCUAACCCCACCAAUGCCUCUCCCCGAGGAGCUCGGUUAUCUCCCCGCUAAUGCCGGAAUUGACGUCAACCAUGCCGACAUCGCCGGUUAUCUCCUUUAGGAGCUCGGUCUCCUCUCCGAUCUCGCGUUGUUUCAUAUCAACUCGAAUCGAUUCUACGGCAAGAUCCCCCACAAGUUCGAUCGAUUGAAGCUCCUCUUCGAGCUCGAUGUCAGCAAUAAUCAAUUCGCCGGGAAAUUUCCGAGGGUAGUUCUCCGGCUGUCGUCCUUGAGGUACCUGGAUCUGAGAUACAAUAAAUACCGUUUCUUUGAGAUCACUUCCAAGUGGCAAACUUCAAAGGGUCGAAAACUUUAGAAAUCUCCUUGAUUGCAGCUUGAUUGUAGGUAUGGGGAGAUUAAGAUGUCUGAGAAUGGAUUUGAAAAUGAGCAGAAGGAUGAUUUAGAUCACGGCAUCACAAAGAAAGAUGCUUCCUCGGUAAUUCUUUCAUAAUAAUUUUGUAGUAUCAAGCGUAUGCUAGGGUUUAUUACUUAUUGUAAUUUUGUAUUGAAGCUUGCAAAGUUCAAAGUCUAAAAGGAAAAUAUCGGGGUGGCGGCUUAUUUCUAGUGUCCCAAGACUCCCAACCUAAAUGAAGCUUUGCAUGUAGGCGAAUCACUAUUAUUCUAGGCAAAUGAACCUGCUAACCUGUUAAUAUGUGCUAUCUACAACUUUAGUGAA
Molecule: long non-coding RNA, 742 nt
Organism: Asparagus officinalis (garden asparagus)
Lineage: Eukaryota; Viridiplantae; Streptophyta; Magnoliopsida; Asparagales; Asparagaceae
Exons: 2
Source: RefSeq, a predicted model, not a curated record